UCUUGGCUUUCCUUCUUCCUUAUUUUAUCAUGGCAAUCCAAACAAUACUCAUAGCAUUUAUGGUAUAUUCAUUUUGUGGUGGGGUGAAGCCAUAGAUGCACUGGAUGCAGCCCCUGGGGCAUGAAGAAGUUCUCAUUUUCCCCAAAUAAGGUUUUUAAUAGUUGGGAUGUGUUCAAGUGACAACAUUUAAUGUUUUAAUAUUUGAAUCCUCUCAUUUUAAUGUGAUUGUACCCUCCAUGUCUUACAUUUUAUUCUAAAGAAUAUUUUCUUUGAUCCUUUUUAAAAAACAAAUGAGCAUGACUUAUUCAGUUAGGACAAAUAGUCACCUAGAUACUGGUGAUGGGUAGGGGAUGGUAAAGGUUUCUGGGAUCCUUCAUGUUGACAUCAGCUACUGUUGGGUCAACUCACACAUAAGACUAACUGAGUCACAUUAAUGUUGAUCUUAAAUUAUUCUAGUAGGUAUAAAAUAUUCUUGUUACCACUAAGGAGUUCACUUAUUUUAUUUUUAUGACCACAAGAAUAAACUGUAUCCUUGCAUGAAUUGGUAUUAGAAAUGUCAGGUAAUAUAAACAAAAGCAAACUCAUAGGUCCAAAUCGAGGGUUAAUGUUAAUGUUAAUGGAGAGUUACUUACUUGCU
This 637-nucleotide long non-coding RNA is filed under the name Marmota monax (woodchuck). Lineage: Eukaryota; Metazoa; Chordata; Mammalia; Rodentia; Sciuridae. The record is from RNAcentral.